GUCGCUGCCAAUUCAGCGACCGGGUGUGAGAGCCCGAAACAAUCAAGGCGCAAAGCGCCCCAAAACCUGUCGUGGCGUUUUUUUU
This 85-nucleotide small RNA is filed under the name Pseudomonas putida. The record is from RNAcentral. Lineage: Bacteria; Pseudomonadati; Pseudomonadota; Gammaproteobacteria; Pseudomonadales; Pseudomonadaceae.